GGCGAACGCUGGCGGCGUGCUUAACACAUGCAAGUCGAACGGAAAGGCCCUGCUUUUGUGGGGUUCUCGGUUGGCGAACGGGUGAGUAACACGUGAGUAACCUGCCCUUGACUUUGGGAUAACUUCAGGAAACUGGGGCUAAUACCGUAUAGGAGCUCCUGCUGCAUGGUGGGGGUUGGAAAGUUUCGGCGGUUGGGGAUGGACUCGCGGAUUAUCAGCUUGUUGGUGGGGGAGUGGCUUACCAAGGCGUUGACGGGUAGCCGGCCGGAGAGGGUGACCGGCACCAUUGGGACUGAGAUACGGCCCAGACUCCUACGGGAGGCAGCAGUGGGGAAUAUUGAACAAUGGGCGGAAGCCUGAUGCAGCAACGCCGCGUGCGGGAUGACGGCCUUCGGGUUGUAAACCGCUUUCGCCUGUGACGAAGCGUGAGUGACGGUAAUGGGUAAAGAAGCACCGGCUAACUACGUG
RNAcentral lists this ribosomal RNA (468 nucleotides) under uncultured bacterium. Its description in RNAcentral is "partial 16S ribosomal RNA". It matches the Rfam family "Bacterial small subunit ribosomal RNA", at positions 28 to 507 of the family's 1533-position model. The record is from RNAcentral.